Molecule: ribosomal RNA, 507 nt
Filed under: uncultured bacterium
Lineage: Bacteria
Description: partial 16S ribosomal RNA
Rfam family: Bacterial small subunit ribosomal RNA
Source: RNAcentral
GCGAACGCUGGCGGCGUGCUUAACACAUGCAAGUCGAACGGGCCUUGUCCCCUUUUUUUUUGGGGGUGGGGUUAGUGGCGAACGGGUGAGUAACACGUGAGUAACCUGCCCCUCACUUCUGGAUAACCGCUUGAAAGGGUGGCUAAUACGGGGUGUUCUGGCCUGCUCGCAUGGGUGGGUUUGGAAAGAUUCGACCGGUUUUGGUUGUUUUGGUGGGGGAUGGGCUCGCGGCCUAUCAGCUUGUUGGUGGGGUGAUGGCCUGCCAAGGCUUUGACGGGUAGCCGGCCUGAGAGGGUGGGCGGUCACACUGGGACUGAGACACGGCCCAGACUCCUACGGGAGGCAGCAGUGGGGAAUAUUGCACAAUGGGCGCAAGCCUGAUGCAGCGACGCCGCGUGAGGGAUGGAGGCCGUCGGGUUGUGAACCUCUUUCGCCAGUGAAGAAGGUCCUGCUCUUUGUGGUGGGGUUGACGGUAGCUGGGUUAAUGAAGCGCCGGCUAACUACGUG